This 698-nucleotide unclassified non-coding RNA is filed under the name Lytechinus variegatus (green sea urchin). RNAcentral describes it as "gamma-glutamylcyclotransferase-like, transcript variant X3". The record is from RNAcentral. Lineage: Eukaryota; Metazoa; Echinodermata; Echinoidea; Temnopleuroida; Toxopneustidae.
UCAAGGCUAUAAGUACUGCCCUCCAAUAAAUCCCUUUUACAUCCACGGGACAAACCAGCCUUUCAAAUGUAUACAAACAUAGGCCGGUCUAGCAAUCAUAAAGUAAUAUUGGAGACUCAUGUGUUUAGCUACAAAGAUAUGGUUGAGUCAACAACUUGAACAGAACUCGCAAGCAAAGUGGGCACCACAGGAGUGCAGGUGAGUACAUGUGGAUAGCCUUUAUCAGUCGGUGUGCUAAUAGAAGUUGAAGCAAUGGCUCCAAAUGAUAAAUUCUUCUACUUCUGCUACGCUAGCAAUCUAUUGAAGUCGAGGUUUCAUCUUUAUGUGCCAUCAGCCGAGUUUGUAAGCCCAGCCAAACUUGAGGGUUAUAGAUUGAAUUUCCGCAGCUACCCUGGAUGGACCCUCGAAACAAGUCAAUGGAGAGGGUCAUUAUGUUCCAUUGAAGAGGAUCAACAGGCUCAUGUAUGGGGAGCAAUAUGGAGUCUGGAUAAAUCAGAUGUCCAAGGACUGUAUCCGUAAGGAUAAAGAUAUAUACUGGGAUGCUACCCUAUCUCUCACUUUCAUAACCACCCCCACCUUCUACUUCUCUCGAUCUGUUCUUUGCCUUUCUAUUUAUCUUUCUUUACAUGCAUGAUCUUCUUCUGUUCUCCUUUACACUUCUCCACCAGACUGCACUUUCUUUCUACAACUCUGGGAAC